UCACGAGUGGCUGAGUUGGUAAGGCAUCCGCCCCGGAAUGGCGCGAAGGAUGCGGGUUCGAGUCCCGCCUCGUGAU
Molecule: non-coding RNA, 76 nt
Organism: Colias croceus (clouded yellow)
Lineage: Eukaryota; Metazoa; Arthropoda; Insecta; Lepidoptera; Pieridae
Source: the annotation of a RefSeq genome assembly